UAGACUAUAGUCUGUGCUUAGAGAUCUUGU
This 30-nucleotide non-coding RNA is filed under the name Rattus norvegicus (Norway rat). Lineage: Eukaryota; Metazoa; Chordata; Mammalia; Rodentia; Muridae. The record is from RNAcentral.